CCGGAAGUUUCCAGAAGGCCCAGAAGGUUCCAGAAGGCCUGGAAGGUUCCAGAAGGCCCAGAAGGUUCCAGAAGGCCUGGAAGGUCCCAGCAGGCCCCAGAAGGUUCUGGAAGGCCCGGAAGGUUCUGGAAGGUUCCAGGACCCCCAGAAGGUUCCAGAACCCCCCUGGAAGGUUCUGGAAGGUCCCACAAGGCCCCAGAAGGUUCCAGAAGGCCCCAGAAGGUUCCAGAAUCCCCAGAAAGUUCUGAAAGGCCCCGGAAUCCCCAGAAGGUUCCGGAAGGCUCCAGAACCCCCGGAAGGUUCCAGAAUCCCCAGAAAGUUCCGGAAGCCCCAAGAAUCCCUGGAAGGUUCUGGAAGGCCCCAGAAGGUUCCAGAAUCCCCGGAAGGUUCCGGAAGGUUCCAGGAGCCCCUGAAGGCCCUGGAAGGUUCCAGAAUCCCCAGAAAGUUCCAGAAGGCCCCAGAAUCCCUGGUAGGUUCUGGAAGGCCCCAGAAGGUUCCAGAAUCCCCGGAAGGCCCCAGAAUCCCCGGUAGGUUCUGGAAGGCCCCAGAAGGUUCCAGAAUCCCCGGAAGGCCCCAGAAUCCCCGGUAGGUUCCGGAAUCCCCGGAAGGUUCCAGAAUCCCCGGAAGGUUCCAGAAUCCCCAGAAGGUUCCGGAAUCCCCGGAAGGUUCCGGAAGCGGCAGGAUGUGGCACGAGGCGCGCAAGCACGAGCGCAAGCUGCGGGGGAUGAUGGUGGAUUACAAGAAACGCGCCGAGCGGCGCCGCGAGUACUACGAGAAAAUCGUGAGUGAGAACCAGUACGGACCAGUUUGGGCCAGUUUGGGAGGGGUCCUGGACCAGUUUGGGCCAGUUUGGGGGAGCUAGAACUAGUUUGGGCCAGUUCAUACCAGUUUGGGGGGUCCUUGUCCCAGUUUGGGGGUGCCANAAUCCCCAAUUUCCCCCCUUUAAUUCCCAAUUCUAAUCCCAAUUACCCCCCUUAAUUCCCAAUAUUUAUCCCCAAUUUCCCCCUUAAUUAACCCCAAUUCUCCCUUAAUUAAUCCCUAAUUUCCCCUUUGUUCCAAAUUUUUUCCCCUUAAUCCCCAAUUUUUGUUCCCAAUUCCCCCUUAAUCAAUCCCCAAUUCCCUUUGAUCAAUCCCCUAUUUCUCCUUAAUUAAACCCCAAUUUUCCCCCUUAAUCAAUCCCCAAUUUCCCCUUAAUUAAUCCCCAAUUCUGCCCUUAAUCAAUACCCAAUUCCCUUUAAUGAACCCCCAAUGCCUCUUUACUUAAACCUCAAUUUUCCCCUUAAUUAAUCCCCAAUUUCCCCUUAAUUAAACCCCAAUUUCCCCUUAAUUAAUCCCCAUUUCCCCCCCUUUAAUUUCCAAUUUCUAUCCCAAUUUCCCCUUAAUUAAUCCCCAAUUUCCACCUUUAAUCAAUCCCCAAUUUCCCCCUUAAUUAAUCUUCAGUUUCCCCUUAAUUAAUCCUCAAUCCCUCCUUAAUCAAUCGCCAAUGCUCUUUAAUUAACUUCAAUUUCCCCCUUAAUUAAUCCCCAAUUUUGCCCUUAUUUAAUCUCCAAUUCCCCUUAAUUAAUCCCCAAUCCCUCCUUAAUUAAUCC
This 1589-nucleotide long non-coding RNA is filed under the name Zonotrichia albicollis (white-throated sparrow). Its description in RNAcentral is "lncRNA (ENSZALG00000000502.1)". The record is from RNAcentral. Lineage: Eukaryota; Metazoa; Chordata; Aves; Passeriformes; Passerellidae.